RNAcentral lists this ribosomal RNA (253 nucleotides) under uncultured bacterium. RNAcentral's name for it is "partial 16S ribosomal RNA". It matches the Rfam family "Bacterial small subunit ribosomal RNA", at positions 524 to 776 of the family's 1533-position model. The record is from RNAcentral.
UACGUAGGGUGCAAGCGUUGUCCGGAAUUAUUGGGCGUAAAGAGCUCGUAGGCGGUCUGUUGCGUCUGCUGUGAAAAUCCAGGGCUUAACCCUGGACCUGCAGUGGGUACGGGCAGACUAGAGUGCGGUAGGGGAGAUCGGAAUUCCUGGUGUAGCGGUGAAAUGCGCAGAUAUCAGGAGGAACACCGGUGGCGAAGGCGGAUCUCUGGGCCGUAACUGACGCUGAGGAGCGAAAGCAUGGGGAGCGAACAGG